This is a microRNA precursor of Oryza sativa Japonica Group (Japanese rice), 155 nucleotides long. It matches the Rfam family "MIR2118 microRNA precursor family". The record is from Rfam. Lineage: Eukaryota; Viridiplantae; Streptophyta; Magnoliopsida; Poales; Poaceae.
AGCAUUUACAGUCCACAAAAGAGGGUCUAAGAAUGCUGGGAAUGGGAACAUGGAGGAAACUGCUUGUUCCAUCUCUAGGUGGAAAUUUGGCUGAGUGUUUCCCAAUGCCUCCCAUUCUUAUUAUUCUUAAUCACUCCUUCCUCUUCAUUUUGACU